This is a long non-coding RNA of Oncorhynchus keta (chum salmon), 1053 nucleotides long. RefSeq lists it as uncharacterized. NCBI's taxonomy places the organism in Eukaryota, Metazoa, Chordata, Actinopteri, Salmoniformes, Salmonidae. The transcript is spliced from 3 exons. The record is from RefSeq and is a predicted model, not a curated record.
GAAGGGGUCAACGGGUUGGAGGAGGCAGGAGCCUGUAGAAGGGGAGGCACCAACUUGCUCCAGAGCAAGUAAUGAGGUAGCAGAGUUUCGAGAGACAGUCAAUCACGAAGAGGCACCGAUCCAGUUGUUACAGAAGCAGUUCAGUGACCAGCUCAAAGAGAAUGAGAGACUCUGAUCAGCAAUCAACCAUCUGACCCUGCGCAAAGCAGGAACUGAAAAGAACAGCAACCACCAAUCCGAUCACAGGCCUGUGGCAGGACAGGGAGGAGCCUCAAACCAUGAUGGGGACAGAUCUGCUGGGGCAAAUCCGUGAGCAAAACCUGUCCUAUCCUAUAUGCAAAUGAGUUGCGGUGAGUAGUAUUAAAAAAUAGUAUUAUAUUUGAGAUUCUCCAAAGUAGCCACCCUUUGCCUUAAUGACAACUUUGCACACUUUAUACACACACCUGUCAGCACUGGGUGUAGCUGAAAUAGCCAAAUCCACUCAUUUGAAGGGGUGUACACAUACACUAUAUAUACACACAAAAGUAUGUUCCAAUGUGAAUUUCAAGUACUUGUUUUUUGUUAAUUUAAUUUUGAAAGCCCUGAGCCCUGUUCUUCAUAUGUGAUGCUGUAAAACUAAACGCCUAAAUACUAUUUCAAAUAGCCAAAGGUAUACCAAAUAUUGUCCCUCUUACAUCUAAUUUACCAAAGAAGUAUUUAGUGUUAACAUUUAAGUAUUUACAAUCUUGUGUAUUUCAUGAUGAUCAGCUUGCUAUUCUGUAUCUUGAAAAAAUGGUGUAUGAGGUUCACUUUUACAUAACUCAAACUACUGAUACAAUAUAGACAUUCAUUUAUUUUUAUUGCCUUAAGAUGAUAACCUUGAAUUUGUUUUAACUAGUAUUUAAGUGGAGUAAAUUGUCAUUUUAUGGUUAAUCUUCCUUCUGUAAAAGGUGAUGUCAUCAGUACAGUUCUCUUCCCAGAAUGUAGAAAAGCUUGUUUUCGUAAAGUUAAUGGUAAUAUUUUUUAUUUUUAUUUUUUAUUUGUUUUUUUCUAUUAAAUGUUUUCUCAAAUGUU